UACGUAUGUCGCAAGCGUUAUCCGGAAUUAUUGGGCAUAAAGGGCAUCUAGGCGGCCAGGCAAGUCUGGGGUGAAAACUUGCGGCUCAACCGCAAGCCUGCCCUGGAAACUGCCUGGCUAGAGUGCUGGAGAGGUGGACGGAACUGCACGAGUAGAGGUGAAAUUCGUAGAUAUGUGCAGGAAUGCCGAUGAUGAAGAUAGUUCACUGGACGGCAACUGACGCUGAAGUGCGAAAGCCGGGGGAGCGAACAGG
RNAcentral lists this ribosomal RNA (253 nucleotides) under uncultured bacterium. RNAcentral describes it as "partial 16S ribosomal RNA". It matches the Rfam family "Bacterial small subunit ribosomal RNA", at positions 524 to 776 of the family's 1533-position model. The record is from RNAcentral.